Homo sapiens (human) is the source of this 392-nucleotide long non-coding RNA. Ensembl annotates it as long intergenic non-protein coding RNA 1435. NCBI's taxonomy places the organism in Eukaryota, Metazoa, Chordata, Mammalia, Primates, Hominidae. The record is from Ensembl.
GGCUGAAAGCAAUGAUGUUGCCAUUCAUCCUUUCACGUAUUCAUUAUGGUCUACAGCUGAGAAGGGCUAUUUGGGGUUUGCUUUGCCUGAUGGUAGCAGAAGAAAACCAAGAGGCCUCUCUACGAAAGCUUGCAGUAAGGAGAAAGUUCUGGAGACUGGGAAGAGCAACACAAAGAUAUUCAGUUGCUUGGUGAGAGCUGCUCUCUGCUUCCAAGGCGGCACCUUGUUGCUGCAUUCUCCAAUGGGAAGGAACGCUGGGUCCUCACAUGACAGAAGGUGGAAAGUUGGCUCCAAUUUGGCUCCUGUCCACUUCUCUACCGAAGAGCUCUCUUUAAAAUUAUUCAUGAUCUCUCUGUAACUAAAUGAAAUAAAUAUUUUUACCCUUUCUCUUA